GACGAACGCUGGCGGCGUGCUUAACACAUGCAAGUCGAACGAAGUGGCGAACGGGUGAGUAACGCGUAAUCAAACUGCCCUUCAGAGGGGGACAACAGUUGGGAACGACUGCUACUACCGCAUACAGAAGGCGGGGAUUGCGUCUGAUUAGCUAGUUGGAGGGGUACCGGCCCACCAAGGCGAUGAUCAGUAGCCGGUCUGAGAGGAUGAACGGCCACAGUGGGACUGAGACACGGCCCAGACUCCGACGGGAGGCAGCAGUGGGGAAUCGUCCGCAAUGGACGAAAGUCUGACGGAGCAACGCCGCGUGAGUGAUGACGGCCUUCGGGUUGUAAAGCUCUGUUAAUCGGGACGCGGUACCGGAAUAGAAAGCCACGGCUAACUACGUGCCAGCAGCCGCGGUAAUAC
RNAcentral lists this ribosomal RNA (408 nucleotides) under uncultured bacterium. RNAcentral describes it as "partial 16S ribosomal RNA". It matches the Rfam family "Bacterial small subunit ribosomal RNA", at positions 28 to 526 of the family's 1533-position model. The record is from RNAcentral.